UUGCUCGUAUUUUUGACAAUGGAACCAGCUUGCUACAAGAAUAUAUUCUGGAAAUUGGAUGUUAAUGAAAAAUCAGGACAUCCCUGCUGGUUCAGUAGACUG
Polypterus senegalus (gray bichir) is the source of this 102-nucleotide long non-coding RNA. RefSeq lists it as uncharacterized. The record is from RefSeq and is a predicted model, not a curated record. NCBI's taxonomy places the organism in Eukaryota, Metazoa, Chordata, Cladistia, Polypteriformes, Polypteridae. The transcript has 3 exons.